RNAcentral lists this ribosomal RNA (384 nucleotides) under Triticum aestivum (bread wheat). Its description in RNAcentral is "partial small subunit ribosomal RNA". The record is from RNAcentral. Lineage: Eukaryota; Viridiplantae; Streptophyta; Magnoliopsida; Poales; Poaceae.
AUGUUUGUGCCAUGGAUUGAUGACAUGGCAUCCAUCCAUCCACCCAUCCAUCCCAUUUAUCUAAAAAAAAAAGAGAAAGAAAGAAAAAUAACCCCCCACCCCCCGGGCAACCCAACCACCCAAACCCUAUCCCCUUCAUCGUCGCCGCCCCCAGAUCCAAUCUUGCCGCUCCCACUCCAUCGUCCCCACCCUCCUCAUCCUCUCGCCGCCGGCCUCACUCACCCCCCUCAUCCUCUCCCGCAUGCUCAAGCCGCUCGCCGCCACCAUGUCCGCCGCCGCGGCCGCGCUCAGGGCGCAGCGGCCUCCUCCCCGCUCGCUGCCCCCCUCGCCUCCUCCAAGGCCGCCUCCUCAUUCUACUCCGACGACGAUGGCGGGAUAGUCUAG